This 778-nucleotide ribosomal RNA is filed under the name uncultured Neocallimastigales. Its description in RNAcentral is "partial large subunit ribosomal RNA". It matches the Rfam family "Eukaryotic large subunit ribosomal RNA", at positions 23 to 639 of the family's 3401-position model. Lineage: Eukaryota; Fungi; Neocallimastigomycota; Neocallimastigomycetes; Neocallimastigales. The record is from RNAcentral.
AGAGAGAGACAUGCGUGCAUAUCAAUAAGCGGAGGAAAAGAAACUAACUAGGAUUCCCUCAGUAACGGCGAGUGAAGCGGGAAGAGCUCAAAUUUGAAAUCUUCAAGGGUUUCUACCCUUUACGAAUUGUAGUUUAAAGAAGUGUUUUCUGUUGAGGUUUUGGUAAAAGUUCUUUGGAAUAGGACAUCAUAGAGGGUGAGAAUCCCGUAUUUGACCAUUACUUUCCAACUUUGUGAUACACUUUCAAAGAGUCGGAUUGUUUGGGAAUGCAGUCCAAAAUGGGUGGUAAAUUUCAUCUAAAGCUAAAUACUGGCGAGAGACCGAUAGCGAACAAGUACCGUGAGGGAAAGAUGAAAAGAACUUUGAAAAGAGAGUUAAACAGUACGUGAAAUUGUCAAAAGGGAAGCGUUUGACACCAGUGUUGUUUUCUCGAAAAUCAAUUAAAAAAGGCAGGAUUUUGUGUUGUAUUGACUUUAUCAGCUUUCUGCACUCUUUUCUUGUCUUUUUUAAUGCACUUUUCGUUUAACAAGUCAACAUCAAUUUCUUUUGUUGUAAAAGGGUCAUUGGAAGGUGGCUUUCUUUUCGGAGAAAGUGUUUAUAGCCUUUGGCCUCUGCAAUCGGAGAGAUUGAGGUCUGCAGCGUAGAUCCUUCGGGGUUAGAUACAUUUGUGCUAAGUUAUAGCCUUUCAUAGACAACUUGUUGACUAUGAUCAGUCAUGUAGCUUACUCGCUUAUGCUAUUUUACCUACGCUUAGGAUGUUGAUGUGAUACUGCGAGCA